CCUACGGGAGGCAGCAGUGGGGAAUAUUGCACAAUGGGGGAAACCCUGAUGCAGCGACGCCGCGUGAGUGAAGAAGUAUUUCGGGAUGUAAAGCUCUAUCAGCAGGGAAGAAAAUGACGGUACCUGAUUAAGAAGCCCCGGCUAACUACGUUCCAGCAGCCGCGGUAAUACGUAGGGGGCCAGCGUUAUCCGGAUUUACUGGGUGUAAAGGGAGCGUAGACGGCAGCAAAAGUCAGGAGUGAAAUGCUGGGGCUUAACCCCGGAACUGCUUUGGAAACUGUGCAGCUAGAGUGCAGGAGAGGUAAGUGGAAUUCGUGGUGUAGCGGUGAAAUGCUUAGAUAUUAGGAAGAACUCCAGUGGCGAAGGCAGCUUACUGGACUGUAACUGACGUUGAGGCUCGAAAGCGUGGGGAGCAAACAGGAUUAGAUACCCGGGUAGUC
RNAcentral lists this ribosomal RNA (440 nucleotides) under uncultured bacterium. Its description in RNAcentral is "partial 16S ribosomal RNA". It matches the Rfam family "Bacterial small subunit ribosomal RNA", at positions 338 to 795 of the family's 1533-position model. The record is from RNAcentral.